GACUUGGCCGGAUUUAUGUUCAUGGCUGAGGAUGCCAUGGGCCGAGUAAGAAGGAGAACCGCCACCCAACCACGCAGCCAAGAGCAACCCAGGGAUCCCUCCUCUGCUUGCUCCCCUCCCCCACCCCUGCUGUACCUUCUGCGCAGCCAUCUCGGUAACGGGCGUCAGGGGCGCUCGGCGGCCUGCUGUCCAAGCUGGGGUCAGGAGCCUGGCGGUAGCAAAGAGCAUCACCGAAAGGAAGCUGGUAGGCUAGCGAGGCCAGCCCCAAAGACCCACAGAUACACGCGCUGCUCCGAACUCGCGGGCCCGCGGCGUCCACUAAUGAGAUGAACCUGGGCGCGCAGCGGCUGGACCUCAGCUGCUAGGGCGCCGCCAAGGCCCUGCUGGACACCUUCUGGUACCUGGGCCUCGUGUAUUACACCUGUGGCUGCCGCCGAGGCGCGGUUCAAUUUGAAGUCUGAGCCCCUACAGGCCCGUGAAUCCUGGAUUACAACUGCAGUUUGUGCAAGAAGCAGCAGCACCUGCACUUCCACUUAGCAACCUCCGGCUUCACGCUCCUCCAGGGCGCAGAGAGCAUCAAAGCAUUAUCACCGACCCAACACACACCGGCGCUGCGUAGUUUCUGCAGCAGGUGUGGGGUGAAGAGUUGCCACACAGCUGUCUGACACCGGGUGUACGGCGUCACCCCUCACUUCCUGGACAAGGCAACAUUUUCCUAAAGGUCAAAGGAGAAAAAUCCUAUCAUCUGAGGUGCUGAACAAAGAAUUCAAUAAAUUCAAUCAAUCU
Molecule: long non-coding RNA, 786 nt
Filed under: Homo sapiens (human)
Lineage: Eukaryota; Metazoa; Chordata; Mammalia; Primates; Hominidae
Description: HSALNT0407581
Source: RNAcentral